AUGUUGUUGCGAUAGUAAUCCUGCUCAGUACGAGAGGAACCGCAGAUUCAGACAUUUGGUUCAUGUGCUUAGCCGAUCAGCCAAUGGCGAGAAGCUACCAUCUGAGGGAUUAUGACUGAACGCCUCUAAGUCAGAAUCCCACCUAGACAAGGCAACGAUAAAUUUGCUUCCAGGAUUCGGAAAGGACUUUUAUCUAAUUAACGAUUUAUUCGUUUUUUUUUUUUUUUUAUGGCUAAUGCCCCAUUAUAUGAUCUUGCUAUGUUAAUUAUGUAACAUGUAAAUUUUUUCACAUCCGAUAUGCUAAUCAUUACAAAAAUU
This 318-nucleotide non-coding RNA is filed under the name Onchocerca volvulus. Its description in RNAcentral is "Eukaryotic large subunit ribosomal RNA". It matches the Rfam family "Eukaryotic large subunit ribosomal RNA", at positions 3004 to 3401 of the family's 3401-position model. The record is from Rfam by way of RNAcentral. Lineage: Eukaryota; Metazoa; Nematoda; Chromadorea; Rhabditida; Onchocercidae.